GGUAGUGAAAUAUUCACAUACCGGAUUGUUUAUUUGAAUUGUAAGUUUGUUUUAUGUCGACAACGGUUUGAAAAAUGAAUUGCGAUCAAGAUUUGGAGAAUAAGGCGGCAAAUUUCGGAGGUUAUUUCGAAAAUUACAUCAUUGACGAAUCAUCGAUUUCAUUCGCGGACGAUGAAGAAGGCGAACCACUACAGUGUGGAUCAGAUAAUCGCAAACGAUGUCAUGACGCACAAUCCAUGAAGGCUAAACCGAAGAGAAAACAAAGGAAAAUUAAGGACAGGGAAAACAAACAGUGGUUGGCUGAACUUAUGAGAGCUGAGGAGCUAAUUUGGAACAAGCAACAUGCUUUGCAUUCCAAUUCCAACGCGCUGGCUGCUGCAUGGAAGAGAAUCGCAAAUCAAAUGCCCUCCUCUACUGUGACCGAAUGUAAAAACAUGUGGAAAAGUAUGCGAGAUGCUUGGCGGUACAAAAAAAAAAUCAGCUUUAAGAGGGAAAUCCGGUGACAGUGGAGGAGAUGAGCAAUCUGAUGAUGCUAGCAAGAACGAGGAUGUUGACAUAACAAGCAUGUUGUCCUUCCUAACACCCGUUACCACUCAGUUUCCUCGGCAAACGAUAACCCUGGGCAGUCAUGAACCUAGUUCCGAUGAUACGAUUAACGACGAAUUGCCAACGUCGAACUACGCCUAUUUAUUUUUCCUGGAUUGUUGCAAAUUUGCAUAGAAAUUGACCAACAUGAUUUGAUGAUUCAAUUGCAGGCCGUUUGCAGUCAGAAGAAGGACGAUGUAUUAGAGUCAGUUCAAAGUAUUUCAAGAGCAAUAAACCAGCUGGCUGCUGUAGCAACAACUCAACAAGAAACUGUAUUUGCUCCACCAUCUGAAUUUAAAUUUGAAUACAUAUGGAAACACAUUGAAAGUUUGUACGCGCAACUGGACCAAAUAGAUAUAAAUCAAUUGAACCAAACAUUCAUAAACAUGACUUAUGAUAAAAUUAAGGAUAAUAAAAAAGAUGGUACUUAAUGCUCA
Molecule: RNA transcript, 1022 nt
Organism: Wyeomyia smithii (pitcher-plant mosquito)
Lineage: Eukaryota; Metazoa; Arthropoda; Insecta; Diptera; Culicidae
Exons: 3
Source: RefSeq, a predicted model, not a curated record